Molecule: ribosomal RNA, 706 nt
Filed under: uncultured beta proteobacterium
Lineage: Bacteria; Pseudomonadati; Pseudomonadota; Betaproteobacteria
Description: bacterial SSU rRNA
Rfam family: Bacterial small subunit ribosomal RNA
Source: RNAcentral
UUACACAUGCAAGUCGAACGGUAACGCGGGGAGAAGCUUGCUUCUCUCCGGCGACGAGUGGCGAACGGGUGAGUAAUACAUCGGAACGUGUCCGCUCGUGGGGGACAACCAGCCGAAAGGUUGGCUAAUACCGCAUGAGUUCUACGGAAGAAAGAGGGGGACCCGCAAGGGCCUCUCGCGAGCGGAGCGGCCGAUGACUGAUUAGCCGGUUGGUGAGGUAACGGCUCACCAAAGCAACGAUCAGUAGCUGGUCUGAGAGGACGACCAGCCACACUGGGACUGAGACACGGCCCAGACUCCUACGGGAGGCAGCAGUGGGGAAUUUUGGACAAUGGGCGCAAGCCUGAUCCAGCUAUUCCGCGUGUGGGAUGAAGGCCCUCGGGUUGUAAACCACUUUUGUAGAGAACGAAAAGACACCUUUUAAAAAAGGGUGUUGCUGACGGUACUCUAAGAAUAAGCACCGGCUAACUACGUGCCAGCAGCCGCGGUAAUACGUAGGGUGCGAGCGUUAAUCGGAAUUACUGGGCGUAAAGGGUGCGCAGGCGGUUGAGUAAGACAGAUGUGAAUCCCCGAGCUUAACUCGGGAAUGGCAUAUGUGACUGCUCGACUAGAGUGUGUCAGAGGGAGGUGGAUUCCACGUGUAGCAGUGAAAUGCGUAGAUAUGUGGAAGAACACCGAUGGCGAAGGCAGCCUCCUGGGACAUAAC